GAUGAACGCUGGCGGCGUGCCUAAUACAUGCAAGUAGAACGCUGAAGGAGGAGCUUGCUCUUCUGGAUGAGUUGCGAACGGGUGAGUAACGCGCAGGUAACCUGCCUGGUAGCGGGGGAUAACUAUUGGAAACGAUAGCUAAUACCGCAUGACAACAGUUAUUGCAUGAUAACUGUUUAAAAGGGGCAACUGCUCCACUACCAGAUGGACCUGCGUUGUAUUAGCUAGUUGGUGAGGUAACGGCUCACCAAGGCGACGAUACAUAGCCGACCUGAGAGGGUGAUCGGCCACACUGGGACUGAGACACGGCCCAGACUCCUACGGGAGGCAGCAGCAGGGAAUCUUCGGCAAUGGACGGAAGUCUGACCGAGCAACGCCGCGUGAGUGAAGAAGGUUUUCGGAUCGUAAAGCUCUGUUGUAAGAGAAGAACGAGUGUGAGAGUGGAAAGUUCACACUGUGACGGUAUCUUACCAGAAAGGGACGGCUAACUACGUG
This 495-nucleotide ribosomal RNA is filed under the name uncultured bacterium. Its description in RNAcentral is "partial 16S ribosomal RNA". It matches the Rfam family "Bacterial small subunit ribosomal RNA", at positions 28 to 507 of the family's 1533-position model. The record is from RNAcentral.